GGUGAAAAGCACCCCGGAAGGGGAGUGAAAUAGAACCUGAAACCGUGUGCUUACAAGUAGUCAGAGCCCGUUAAUGGGUGAUGGCGUGCCUUUUGUAGAAUGAACCGGCGAGUUACGAUUUGAUGCAAGGUUAAGCAGUAAAUGUGGAGCCGUAGCGAAAGCGAGUCUGAAUAGGGCGUUUAGUAUUUGGUCGUAGACCCGAAACCAGGUGAUCUACCCUUGGUCAGGUUGAAGUUCAGGUAACACUGAAUGGAGGACCGAACCGACUUACGUUGAAAAGUGAGCGGAUGAACUGAGGGUAGCGGAGAAAUUCCAAUCGAACCUGGAGAUAGCUGGUUCUCUCCGAAAUAGCUUUAGGGCUAGCCUCAAGUGAUGAUUAUUGGAGGUAGAGCACUGUUUGGACGAGGGGCCCCUCUCGGGUUACCGAAUUCAGACAAACUCCGAAUGCCAAUUAAUUUAACUUGGGAGUCAGAACAUGGGUGAUAAGGUCCGUGUUCGAAAGGGAAACAGCCCAGACCACCAGCUAAGGUCCCAAAAUAUAUGUUAAGUGGAAAAGGAUGUGGCGUUGCCCAGACAACUAGGAUGUUGGCUUAGAAGCAGCCAUCAUUUAAAGAGUGCGUAAUAGCUCACUAGUCGAGUGACACUGCGCCGAAAAUGUACCGGGGCUAAACAUAUUACCGAAGCUGUGGAUUGUCCUUUGGACAAUGGUAGGAGAGCGUUCUAAGGGCGUUGAAGCAUGAUCGUAAGGACAUGUGGAGCGCUUAGAAGUGAGAAUGCCGGUGUGAGUAGCGAAAGACGGGUGAGAAUCCCGUCCACCGAUUGACUAAGGUUUCCAGAGGAAGGCUCGUCCGCUCUGGGUUAGUCGGGUCCUAAGCUGAGGCCGACAGGCGUAGGCGAUGGAUAACAGGUUGAUAUUCCUGUACCACCUAUAAUCGUUUUAAUCGAUGGGGGGACGCAGUAGGAUAGGCGAAGCGUGCGAUUGGAUUGCACGUCUAAGCAGUAAGGCUGAGUAUUAGGCAAAUCCGGU
Molecule: ribosomal RNA, 1027 nt
Filed under: Staphylococcus aureus
Lineage: Bacteria; Bacillati; Bacillota; Bacilli; Caryophanales; Staphylococcaceae
Description: partial 23S ribosomal RNA
Rfam family: Bacterial large subunit ribosomal RNA
Source: RNAcentral